Molecule: ribosomal RNA, 508 nt
Filed under: uncultured bacterium
Lineage: Bacteria
Description: bacterial SSU rRNA
Rfam family: Bacterial small subunit ribosomal RNA
Source: RNAcentral
UAACGUUCCUUUUCCUUCGGGACAGAGGAGACAGGUGGUGCAUGGUUGUCGUCAGCUCGUGUCGUGAGAUGUUGGGUUGAGUCCCGCAACGAGCGCAACCCUUACCUUCAGUAGCCAGCGAGUAAAGUCGGGCACUCUGGAGGGACUGCCAGGGAUAACCUGGAGGAAGGUGGGGAUGACGUCAAAUCAUCAUGCCCCUUAUGAUUUGGGCUACACACGUGCUACAAUGGCGUAAACAAAGGGAAGCGAAGCCGUGAGGUGAAGCAAAUCCCAAAAAUAACGUCUCAGUUCGGAUUGUAGUCUGCAACUCGACUACAUGAAGCUGGAAUCGCUAGUAAUCGCGAAUCAGAAUGUCGCGGUGAAUACGUUCCCGGGUCUUGUACACACCGCCCGUCACACCAUGGGAGUUGGUAACGCCCGAAGUCAGUGACUCAACCGAAAGGGGAGAGCUGCCGAAGGCGGGACUGAUAACUGGGGUGAAGUCGUAACAAGGUAGCCGUAUCGGAAG